This 602-nucleotide ribosomal RNA is filed under the name uncultured Basidiomycota. RNAcentral's name for it is "eukaryotic LSU rRNA". The stretch from base 201 to 353 matches the Rfam family "5.8S ribosomal RNA". Lineage: Eukaryota; Fungi; Basidiomycota. The record is from RNAcentral.
CUUGGUCAUUUAGAGGAAGUAAAAGUUGUAACAAGGUUUCCGUAGGUGAACCUGCGGAAGGAUCAUUAACAAAUCCAAUAAUUGCGGGAGAACGUGUUGUUCCUUUUGCAAAUAUUAAUCCGCUGGCUGCUCUUAGUAGCAGCUUGGCUGUGAUAUAAAUGCGUGAUAUGUUGACAGUGUGUGUAUAAUUAAAUAUUGUCAACUUUUAACAAUGGAUCUUCUAGGCUCUUGCAACGAUGAAGAACGCAGCAAAGUGCGAAAAGUGGUGCGAUUUGCACGAAUCUGUGAGUCAUCUAAUCUUUGAACGCGAAUGGCACUGCUAUGUAAGUAGCAGUAUGUCUGUUUUGAGAUCGCAAAACUCGAUCUUCUCUAGUUAAAGAGUGGGAUUGACCUCAUAUGCUCUCUAGCGUAUUUGGUUUGAAUGCAUUAAGUUGAUGAGCUUCCCAACAUUGCUCAAUGUGUGCUAGCGAGACAGUCGUCCCGAUCUCACAUUACAGUUUUGUUGCAAAGUUCUAUGUACAGCUUUUUAUUUAUUUUAUCAAGUACGAUCUCAAAUCAGGCAAGAUUACCCGCUGAACUUAAGCAUAUCAAUAAGCGGAGGA